Molecule: ribosomal RNA, 178 nt
Filed under: Gammaproteobacteria bacterium
Lineage: Bacteria; Pseudomonadati; Pseudomonadota; Gammaproteobacteria
Description: partial 16S ribosomal RNA
Rfam family: Bacterial small subunit ribosomal RNA
Source: RNAcentral
UAAUUGAAGAGUUUGAUCAUGGCUCAGAUUGAACGCUGGCGGUAGGCUUAACACAUGCAAGUCGUGCGAGAAAGUACCUUCGGGUGCGAGUAGAGCGGCGGACGGGUGAGUAACGCGUAGGAAUCUACCUAGUAGAAGGGGAUAGCCCGGGGAAACUCGGAUUAAUACCGUAUACCUC